AUUGAACGCUGGCGGCAUGCCUUACACAUGCAAGUCGAACGGUAACAGGUCUUCGGAUGCUGACGAGUGGCGAACGGGUGAGUAAUACAUCGGAACGUGCCUAGUAGUGGGGUAUAACUACUCGAAAGAGUGGCUAAUACCGCAUGAGAUCUACGGAUGAAAGCAGGGGAUCGCAAGACCUUGUGCUACUAGAGCGGCCGAUGGCAGAUUAGGUAGUUGGUGGGAUAAAAGCUGACCAAGCCGACGAUCUGUAGCUGGUCUGAGAGGACGAUCAGCCACACUGGGACUGAGACACGGCCCAGAAUAGUACGGGAGGCAGCAGUGGGGAAUUUUGGACAAUGGGCGCAAGCCUGAUCCAGCAAUGCCGCGUGAAGGAUGAAGGCCUUCGGGUUGUAAACUGCUUUUGUACGGAACGAAAAGCCCCGGGUUAAUACCCUGGGGUCAUGACGGUACCGUAAGAAUAAGCACCGGCUAACUACGUGCCAGCCGCCGCAGUAA
Molecule: ribosomal RNA, 498 nt
Filed under: uncultured bacterium
Lineage: Bacteria
Description: partial 16S ribosomal RNA
Rfam family: Bacterial small subunit ribosomal RNA
Source: RNAcentral